Molecule: ribosomal RNA, 477 nt
Filed under: uncultured bacterium
Lineage: Bacteria
Description: partial 16S ribosomal RNA
Rfam family: Bacterial small subunit ribosomal RNA
Source: RNAcentral
ACUCAAAUGAAUAGACGGGGGCCCGCACAAGCAGCGGAGCGUGUGGUUUAAUUCGAUGCAACGCGAAGAACCUUACCUAGACUUGACAUGACCCGGAAAGCCGUGGAAACACGGCCCUCUUCGGACCGGGCCACAGAUGUUGCAUGGCUGUCGUCAGCUCGUGUCGUGAGAUGUUGGGUUAAGUCCCGCAACGAGCGCAACCCUCGUGUCCUGUUGCAACUCAGGACAGACUGCCGGUACAAGCCGGAGGAAGGUGGGGAUGACGUCAAGUCCGCAUGGCUCUUACGUCUAGGGCUACACACACGCUACAAUGGUCGGGACAGAGCGCAGCCACGGGGCGACCCGGAGCGAAUCGCAAAACCCGAUCUCAGUUCGGAUGGCAGGCUGCAACCCGCCUGCCUGAAGUCGGAGUUGCUAGUAACCGCGUGUCAGCAUAGCGCGGUGAAUAUGUUCCCGGGCCUUGCACACACCGCCCGU